Molecule: ribosomal RNA, 506 nt
Filed under: uncultured bacterium
Lineage: Bacteria
Description: partial 16S ribosomal RNA
Rfam family: Bacterial small subunit ribosomal RNA
Source: RNAcentral
GAUGAACGCUAGCUACAGGCUUAACACAUGCAAGUCGAGGGGUAACAAGAGGAAAGCUUGCUUUCUUUGUUGACGACCGGCGCACGGGUGAGUAACGCGUAUCCAACCUGCCUAUAACUAGGGAAUAACCUUGCGAAAGUAAGACUAAUACCCUAUGAUUUCCUUUGAUGACAUCAGAUUAGGAAUAAAGAUUUAUCGGUUAUAGAUGGGGAUGCGUCUGAUUAGCUUGUUGGCGGGGUAACGGCCCACCAAGGCAACGAUCAGUAGGGGUUCUGAGAGGAAGGUCCCCCACAUUGGAACUGAGACACGGUCCAAACUCCUACGGGAGGCAGCAGUGAGGAAUAUUGGUCAAUGGGCGGAAGCCUGAACCAGCCAAGUAGCGUGCAGGAUGACGGCCCUAUGGGUUGUAAACUGCUUUUAUACAGGAAUAAAGUUAGCCACGUGUGGUUAUUUGUAGGUACUGUAUGAAUAAGGACCGGCUAAUUCCGUGCCAGCAGCCGCAGUAA